This 531-nucleotide ribosomal RNA is filed under the name Pseudomonas sp. acu54. Its description in RNAcentral is "bacterial SSU rRNA". It matches the Rfam family "Bacterial small subunit ribosomal RNA", at positions 92 to 618 of the family's 1533-position model. The record is from RNAcentral. Lineage: Bacteria; Pseudomonadati; Pseudomonadota; Gammaproteobacteria; Pseudomonadales; Pseudomonadaceae.
GCAGCGGCGGACGGGUGAGUAAUGCCUAGGAAUCUGCCUGGUAGUGGGGGACAACGUCUCGAAAGGGACGCUAAUACCGCAUACGUCCUACGGGAGAAAGUGGGGGCUCUUCGGACCUCACGCUAUCAGAUGAGCCUAGGUCGGAUUAGCUAGUUGGUGAGGUAAUGGCUCACCAAGGCGACGAUCCGUAACUGGUCUGAGAGGAUGAUCAGUCACACUGGAACUGAGACACGGUCCAGACUCUAUACGGGAGGCAGCAGUGGGGAAUAUUGGACAAUGGGCGAAAGCCUGAUCCAGCCAUGCCGCGUGUGUGAAGAAGGUCUUCGGAUUGUAAAGCACUUUAAGUUGGGAGGAAGGGUUGUACGUUAAUACCGUGCAAUUUUGACGUUACCGACAGAAUAAGCACCGGCUAACUCUGUGCCAGCAGCCGCGGUAAUACAGAGGGUGCAAGCGUUAAUCGGAAUUACUGGGCGUAAAGCGCGCGUAGGUGGUUUGUUAAGUUGGAUGUGAAAUCCCCGGGCUCAACCUGGG